CCUACGGGAGGCAGCAGUGGGGGAUAUUGGACAAUGGGGGAAACCCUGAUCCAGCGACGCCGCGUGAGUGAAGAAGUAUUUCGGUAUGUAAAGCUCUAUCAGCAGGGAAGAAAGAAAUGACGGUACCUGAGUAAGAAGCCCCGGCUAACUACGUGCCAGCAGCCGCGGGAAUACGUAGGGGGCAAGCGUUAUCCGGAAUUACUGGGUGUAAAGGGAGCGUAGACGGUAAUGCAAGUCUGGAGUGAAAGGCGGGGGCCCAACCCCCGGACUGCUCUGGAAACUGUGUAACUGGAGUGCAGGAGAGGCAGGCGGAAUGCCUAGUGUAGCGGUGAAAUGCGUAGAUAUUAGGAGGAACACCAGUGGCGAAGGCGGCCUGCUGGACUGUAACUGACGUUGAGGCUCGAAAGCGUGGGGAGCAAACAGGAUUAGAUACCCCAGUAGUC
This 443-nucleotide ribosomal RNA is filed under the name uncultured bacterium. RNAcentral's name for it is "partial 16S ribosomal RNA". It matches the Rfam family "Bacterial small subunit ribosomal RNA", at positions 338 to 795 of the family's 1533-position model. The record is from RNAcentral.